Leptopilina heterotoma is the source of this 1136-nucleotide long non-coding RNA. RefSeq lists it as uncharacterized. The record is from RefSeq and is a predicted model, not a curated record. The transcript has 5 exons. NCBI's taxonomy places the organism in Eukaryota, Metazoa, Arthropoda, Insecta, Hymenoptera, Figitidae.
AGUAGGGUGUGAGGUAGGAAUCGUGUAUAUCAAAAUCGAAAUAAGAAUUUAGUGUGGUCAAGACCUUGGUACAAACACCUCGGUGUGAAAAGGUUGCUAAAGUGCGCUGGCGAACAGCGAAUAAUUAAAUUUUUCAAGACGCCCGAUAGGGCGGUUGGUGUACAAUUUAUUAUAGCACCUCGUGGGUUAUUUGCUCCGUUCGAAGUCGAGCCUUUGUCAAGUAUCCUGAUUAUCAGGUGAACCUGUACUCGUGGAGUCUUUGUUUGUAUUAUCACGUCUAUACUUCAAGGAAGUGACCAUUCACCAUAUCUAUUGAAUCGACAAAGGGGAUCAUCUCCUAGAUAAAAUUAUCAUUGACAAGAGGGACACCGAUACUUGCGUAAGGUUGUCCACGAUUAUGAAAUUAUUUUGAAAACUACGCUGUACAUAUAGAAUUUGUGGUUGCAAUGAUGCUAUGGAUGAUGGAUGAAAUAAGCAGCAAUUUUCUGGACGAGUAGGCUUGCACAUAUUUCGCACAGUAAUUCGUGUGUAAAGUUCAUACACAUACACAUAUAUCAGAGGGGCUGGGAAAUUGUACAGAGAUUAAGCCUGUUAUUCGUGAACAACAAUGAGCGUCGAUCAGAAAGGGGUGAAGAAUCUCCCUCUCUAAUGUACAUGCAUAUAUAUGGGCACUGGUUCUCCAAAAGGGACGUUCCAGUGAGCCAAAAUCACGCGUUUUUAUUCAAAAACCUGCAGGGGACAAAAACCAGCCAGAAAAUUUUGAAAAAAAAUUUGUGUAAAAUAUUAUAUUAUUAAAAUAUAUGUGCAAAGUUUUAUUUAGGAGUUUAAUUAUUAUUGGACAAACUUUUUUCAGUCAAAAUACAAACUUAGGAAAAAGAAACAUAAACUGAAAAUAUUGAAGAACGGAUUGAAAAUAAAGUAAGACGAAUAUCAAGAAAUGAACAACUGAACGUGAGAAAUUCGUGUGUAAUUUAAUCUCAUUUCACGUGUCUCAACCUGUAACUAUGAGAAUCAAUUUUCAUCGGUUUAAAGAGAUUAUAGACAUUUAUAAAAUCACAAUUUAGUGAUAGUAAUUAAACUUCUAAAGCUAUUAGAAAUAAUAAUAAAUGACUUUCUUAUUUACAAAAAUAGAGCGA